This 1802-nucleotide ribosomal RNA is filed under the name human gut metagenome. RNAcentral's name for it is "bacterial LSU rRNA". It matches the Rfam family "Bacterial large subunit ribosomal RNA", at positions 1131 to 2925 of the family's 2925-position model. The record is from RNAcentral.
UGCGUAACAGCUCACUGGUCGAGUGGACAUGCGCCGACAAUACACGGGGCUAAGCUGGACACCGAAGCGGCGGGAUUUUAAUUCAUUAGAAUCGGUAGGGGAGCUUCCCAUGGGCGGAGAAGCCGGAGGGCGACCGACGGUGGAGCGCAUGGGAGUGAGAAUGCUGGCAUGAGUAGCGAGAGACGAGAGAGUAACUCGUCCGCCGUGAACCCGAGGUUUCCUGGGCAAGGCUAAUCCUCCCAGGGUCAGUCGGGGGCUAAGGCGAGGCCGGGAGGCGUAGCCGACGCGCAGCAGGCAGACAUUCCUGCACCGCGCACGCGGCGCUACGACCGACGGGGCGACGGAUGGGGGUGGCUCGGCGGGGUUCUGGACGUCCCCGUGAUGGAGCGCGGCCCGCGGACCAGGGAAAUCCGGUCCGCAGAAGGGCGAGGCUCCGGACGAAGCGACUGAGCGAAGCGAGUGAGCCCGAGGUCCCUAGAAAAACCCCUAGGCAGGCGCGUGCGCGCCCGUACCGCAAACCGACACAGGUGGGUGGGUAGAACAUACCGAGGCGAUCGGGUCAACCAUGGUCAAGGAACUCGGCACAAUGGCCCCGUAACUUCGGGAGAAGGGGUGCCCGCGCGUACGUGAACCGGCUUGCCCGGGGAGCGGAGGCGGGCCGCAGUGGAGAGGCCCAAGCGACUGUUUACCAAAAACACAGGACUCUGCAGAAGCCGCAAGGCGACGUAUAGGGUCUGACGCCUGCCCGGUGCCGGAAGGUCACGCGGAGGAGUUAGCCGAUUCGGCGAAGCCCCGAAGCCAAGCCCCGGUAAACGGCGGCCGUAACUAUAACGGUCCUAAGGUAGCGAAAUUCCUUGUCGGGUAAGUUCCGACCUGCACGAAAGGCGCAACGACUUGGGCGCUGUCUCGACCAUGGACCCGGUGAAAUUGCACUGGUCGUGAAGAUGCGACUUACCCGCGGAAGGACGGAAAGACCCCGUGAACCUUCACUGCAGCUUGGCAUUGGCCGCUGGUCCCGCGUGUAGAGGAUAGGCAGGAGGCACAGAUCCGGAGGCGCCAGCCCCCGGGGAGCCGCCCUUGGAAUACUGCCCUCGCGCGACCGGCGUCCUAACCCGAGGCCGUCAACCGGCUCGGGGACCGUGCCAGGCGGGCAGUUUGACUGGGGCGGUCGCCUCCUAAAGGGUAACGGAGGCGCGCGAAGGUCCGCUCGGGACGGUCGGCAACCGUCCUUUUGAAUGCAAGAGUACAAGCGGGCUUGACUGCGAGGCCCACAAGCCGAGCAGGUGCGAAAGCAGGCUCUAGUGAUCCGGCGGCCCCGAGUGGGUGGGCCGUCGCUCAACGGAUAAAAGGUACUCCGGGGAUAACAGGCUGAUCUUGCCCAAGAGUCCACAUCGACGGCAAGGUUUGGCACCUCGAUGUCGGCUCAUCGCAUCCUGGGGCUGUAGCAGGUCCCAAGGGUUGGGCUGUUCGCCCAUUAAAGCGGUACGCGAGCUGGGUUCAGAACGUCGUGAGACAGUUCGGUCCCUAUCCUCCGUGGGCGCAGGAGAAUCGAUGGAGGCUGCCCCCAGUACGAGAGGACCGGGGUGGACGCACCUCCGGUGAACCGGUUGUCGACCAACGGCACGGCCGGGUAGCCGCGUGCGGCGCGGAUAACCGCUGAAGGCAUCUAAGCGGGAAGCCGUUCCAGGGAUUAGUUCUCCUUCCGGUAAGGGCCCAGGUAGACUACCUGGUCGAUAGACGGCAGGUGCAAGGACGGCGACGUCCUCAGCCGAGCCGCACUAAUCGCCCGAGCUCUUCCGGAA